CCCCAGACUGUAAAUUUGGAGAAAACACAUGAAUGUGAGAAUUCACUUGAUGAUCUUGCAAAGUUGGGAAAGAUGGAUCAAAAUAUGCAAUGUCUGUGAUGGCAGCAGAGAAUGAGUGCAGAGGUCAGAGCACCCUGUGGUUUCUCCGCUCUCAUGGGACAGAGUCAACCAGGCCUCAUGCUGAGGCAAGGAACAACCCAUAACACCAUCUUCAGCUUUCUUCCUGCCAGUGAUGCUUUGCCAGGAGAUGCCUGGAAGCAGCCCAGGCACUUCACAGGGUGUGUUUCUGAUGGCAAACCAACAUAAAUUAACAACAACCCUACUGACGCCGCUGUAGUUACACUGGUGAGACGCAGCCAGCUAACAGAGCAGCUCAUUUGUCUUCCCCUAACCCUGGUACUUCGGACUCAGACACCCACUGAGACAGUGUUGCUUCCCGACACAGGGCAACCCAGCACAGCUUGACUUUGUGGUACUUUUGGGAAGAGAAAGUGCUCUUGCACAAAAUACUUUGUCCUAUGGUCCUUAGAGCGUUGCUCGCCUUUGGUACAAGAAAGGAUACCUGAUGUUUCUAAAAUAUUUGUGCUCUCAGCACCCUUGUUGGGUGCUAGAAAAGGUUGCCAGAUGGCAGCCACAGAGGCAGACUGCAUGGCUACCACACGUUGCUGCCCCUCUCGCCCUCUCUUUGCUCAAACAAAAACCUGCAUGACAUACUGGCCAAGUCUCUCCGAGAAUUUAUUUUCACUUGGAUUCUUCUAUAAUAAGUGCGUAUGAUUUAUUGUGUUCCAUGCCUAUGACUAAAGUUACUUGGCAGCUUUUCUCUGCUAGAGUGUUGUUGUGAGGACUGAUUUCUCUGGAUGAGCUAUUUGUUUACGUGCUUUGAAAAAUAUGUCAUUAUUAUUAUUAUUAUUUCUUCCUGCAGUAGCAGAAGGAUUUAUCCCAUUCUGCUAUCAGAGAAAUGGAAACCUUUACCUUCCAGUGCCUUUUUGUAAGCAUAGGAAAUCAGGACAUUUAGAGAUAAACAAAAGGUGUGGUGCAUGCACAUGACUCAUGUUCUGGCAUCCACUUACAAAGUUAAACAUACACUGUGUGCUAAGGAGACGUCUGGGAAUGACUCUGUGCUUCCCUGUGGCUUUUGUCCACACCCCCCAAAUUCCUGCUAAGCUAAGUGGGAGUUCUGCAAUUGAUUUCCGUAGAAAUUUGAUGGGCAUGAGUAAUUACCGUGUCAACAGCAUGUUCGUGCUUGAAGAAUCUACUCCUUAACAGUCAAUUAUUUCAGCCCAGUGUGCACUGCCUUUGCCCUGCAGCUUCUGAAACAAGUUUCUGUGCUGUGCCCGGUCUUCCCCUUUCUGCAUUUUUUAAAAAUGAAAUUAAACACAAGGCCCUAUUCAGCCAAAAACAGGCCCUGCAGCUGUUACCGCCUGAGCUCUGUGAGGCUCCUGUGCUCUGGAGAUACAAAUGCAAUUCUUAAAGGAAAAAUAUCAUCUUUCCAGUGGCUAUGGGAGAAGUUAUUAAACAUUUUCUGACACAGCCUCUUCAAAGAACAUGAUCCUGCCUUCAUCCUGGAGACAACACUCAUUAAGCAUACUAAAAUGGAUACAUGAGAAUGAUGAUCCCAUGCAGCAGAGAUGUAAAGCAGAGAAAGCCAUGGCUGUCCAGAGUCCCUCUUUCCCCUGGACCAAAUAAAGCAACAGAGCAUUUGCUGAAAGUGUUUCCCCUUAGAAAAGCCUGUGUAAGAGAAAUGCUCACAGAUCUACUCCAUGUUGUUUUCUCCCGUUGUAUGGAGAAAAAUGUGGAUGGAAUAAGUGAUUUGUAAGGCUUCAUAGCAGGAAUCUGACAAGAAGACGAGAAUUGGAGUUGUCCUCCUCUUUCCUCUGACUUAGAGAGCAGCUUAAGGGGAGAAAGAAGAGGGAUUUGUAAUUUGCUUCCAACCGAACCAACACAGAUUUUGUGCAUUUGCAAUUUUACCCCUUUUUAAGAGUUGUUUUGCCAAUCUGUGAGACAUAGUUGGAGGCAGGAGUGAAUGGUGGAGUAAAAUCGUAACAUUCACAAAACAGAAUCAGCAAAAGAUGAAGAUGAGUGUCACUCAGAGGGUCCUGAAGUGAAGGGGAUUUGCCUUUGUCUUUCUGUUUGGUAGGCAGCUCAGUCCCAGAGCUCUGAUCCAGGUUGCUGCCCCUCCUGCAAGUGCCUGCAAUAAGUUUCAGAGGGCUCCCACUGGAAGCAGCCUGCACAGGAGCAAGCCUCGACAAAAUGCACGUUGGAUUUUAGAAUAGAUGCCUCUAGCAUCCAAGGCACAGUAGCAAAGGAAGUAACACUGGGUCAGGCUGUUCAGGAAUAAAGAAUGAAACUUUUGUUGAGAUAACAUCAGCUACAAAGGUUAAAGCAUAAUUGUACGUGAACCAUCAGAGUGAAUCUGCGGUUGAAGCAAAUAGAGUAUUUGUUCUAGAUGUCCUUACUCAUUUACAGUGUACAGCAGUUUGGAGCUUUUCAAUUUCUUUGGUAACGUGUAUUUUAAGAUGAGUGGACUUGGAUCAGGUGAGGAUGCAAGUAUUUAGUCAUUGUAGGAAAAUGUUACUGAAUUUUUGUUUUAGUUCUGUUUUUGCUUAUCUGUUGUGCAGGUGUUUUGAAUACUGAUACCAGAACUUCCUAUGGCAAGUGAGCAAGUAAGAACACAUUUAUGUGAUUGCUCUCCCCUUUUCAUCCAGGAUGUUUUUUGCAGUAAGGUUUAAGCAUAACUUCUUAAAACGACAUUGUAUUUUAUAUCAAUUACUACAUUACGUAUUACCAAUUGCAUAAUAGUGUUUAAUCUCAUGUGCAUUUGUUUACCUGCGUUUUUUUUUUUUUUUUUUUUUUUUUUUUUCCCCCUAAUGACCUCCCAGGCAAUUUUUAGCAAUUUUUUUUUUUUUUUUUUUUUUUUUUGCAUAGGAAACAGGGACACACAGGUCAAUGGGAAUUAUGUUUGGCUCUUUUACUUCCUUAAUUGCCGCAAAGCAGGGGCCCAAACAUUCAGCCAAUUAUUCCACAAUUACAGCUCUUUAUUACUCUUCUUUCUUCCCACAGGUUGUUUGUGAGGCUUUAAGUUGCUGAUUUUUGCAACCUUGAUUCUGUGAAAAAAUGUCAGCAUGUGUUCAGCGUGAAGUAUACGGGUAGUCCUGGUGGGAUACACAGUUAUUCUGGGGCAGGAGCGCUCAGCCUACAUGAAAUACGCCUUGCCCUCCAGAGCAGGCAUUAGAUCCUUGUCCUAUGCUCACCAGCAAAAUGCUGAGGGUGUUCAUGAGUGCUCUUAGCAUCCAUUUCUCUCUGUUUCAUUCAAUGUGGUGACUGAUCCAGUUCAAGCAACAGCCCAGUGAAAUUGUGGUUGUAGCUUACCUGUACGGCCCAGUGCAGAGCGGUUUUGAGGUCUUUAUCCACUAGAGUCAGGUCUGCUCCCUUGUGCAGCAGGGUCUGUACAUGCUGGGGCCUGUUGUGGAAAGCAGCCCAGUGGAGUGAAGUCAUUCCCUGAAAGCCACAAACCCAUAGAGCAAAUAAAGGUCAUGCACAGUAAUGCCCUUUGCAUCCUCUAUAGCUGUAGAAAAGCUAGACUGCUCUGAAACCAUUUGGGAUGGACUGACUCUUUCCUCUUUGCCUUGAACUGAAAUAAUUAGUUACAACUUCCUAACUAGUCAUAACGGGGAACUUAGCAGUCAUCUUUUUAGUGUCAUUGCAGACAAUCAAUACAAAUACGAAGGUUUCUUUCAUACCUGACUGUAACUGUCUUAAAAGAUAUGUGGUCAGGACCAUGAUGGCUGGGGAGGUGAUUCCUCGCUGCUAAGCUUGGGUCCUAUGAGAAAGGCCUGUUUCAGGCAUGUGCUUUGUCAUAACACAAUGUGGUGUUUAACUCAGACCUUAUCUUUAAUUCAAAAUAAGUAUUAUAAACUGACUCUAAUCAUCAAGCUAAAGAACUGCCCCAGUGAUGUCAACAAAAGGACUCACAAUAUAAACAUCUUAUAUUUACAGUUUAGUUUCAGAGAAUCACAGAAUCAUUAAGGUUGGAAAGACCUCUAAUAUAACUCCAACUGUCAACCCACCAUCACCAUGCCCACUUAUCAAUGCCUUCAGCGCCAUGUCUGCGUGUUUCUUGAACACCUCUAGAGAUGGUGAUUUGACCUCUUCCCUGGGCAGUUCAUGAUAUAUUAAUUUCACCUUCAACAACAUUGUUGUAUACACCUAUACUUUACUCUAAGUCCAUAAUACUGAAGAUGUUUCUAAUUAAACACAUUUCUUAAAAAAUUCUAGUAUUGUUCAGAUGUGGUAACUUUUUACUUUGAGCAGAUGUGUCUACUAUCUUUUACUACUGAAAAUGUAUCCAAAGGGUCUUGCUUGGGAUCAAAAUGGUAAAAAAAAAAAAAAGCAAAAAUGUAAAGUGGAAAAGAAAUUGAAACUUCAGUGGAACCUUAUAAAUCUAGUUAACAACAAUUUGGAUUAAACACAAGCUAUAAAACACCCAUGCAAACGGUUUAUCAGUGCAUUAAUACUAGAAGCUGUUAGCAGUGACGUUCUAAGUGAAAGCUUGAACCCCCUAACUUUAAUUUCUCUGAACUAUCAGAUAUAUUAUAACUCUUUUCAGGUCCCCAGGUGGUUUAAAUAUGGGUGAUGACAAAAUAAAACAAUUGAACAAGAGCAGUUUUGUUUUUAGUUAGGUUUUGCAAAUCUUAAUCAUGGGGAUUUUCGUUCUGUAAAACCAGGAAUGAGGAUUUAAUCCUGUCUCACUGAAAUUAAUGAGAGUUCUACCAUUGACGUCAGUGGACACGUGUUUUUGCACUGGGGACCUAGUAUCAUUGACAGGCUCCCAAACCCCAUGGUUGCUGUUAAGUGAGAAUUCAGUGAAGUAACCUCCAUCUGGGACGUGGAUCCUUGUACCUAGGUCUGGACAGUCAGAACAGUGACUGAAAGAGGGGAAACUGCAGUGUAUCAGGCCAGAUUUUUGUCAUCUACUCUCAGCAUGUCAAUAUGAGCAAAAGGCAAGAUUCUUGAAAAAGCAGAUUUCUGUUCUUAACAUUGCUAUCAUCUGAGACACAUAUAACAUGAGAGUGUAAGAACUGUGGGUAGAUAUCAAAGUUUUCCCUAGUCCAGGGUCACUAGAAAAUACUUAGAGAGAGACAUUAAGAAAUAGGGCUUAGUGAUACACAGUAAUAUAACAUCUGGUAAUUGCACUACAGACUUCCUAUGCCAUCCAGAUCUCCACAGAAUAAUCAUGCAUUUUGUGAAAAAGUGUCUUCUUUCAUUUCCUGUAAAACUGCUGUCCCCAUCAUUUUAGUUGUAAAAAAACAAACAAACAGUGAAUAAUCAUGCUCUUUGCAUCUUCUCCGUAGCAUUUAAGAUGCUGUGGAUUUGUAUUAUAUUGUCCCUCUGACAUAACUGAAUGUCCUUUCACAAUUUGUUUGUUCUAGUUAUUGACCUGCCCAUGAAAGAAAGCCAUUCUAUAAUAAUCUUUGCAGUCCUUCUCUGUUCCUUUUGUUGUACAUCCUUUUUCAGAUGACAUUUGCAGCGAGCAUUAAAGGUGUGGGCAUACCAAGGAAUGAGACAGA
Long non-coding RNA from Gallus gallus (chicken), 5567 nucleotides. RefSeq lists it as uncharacterized. The record is from RefSeq and is a predicted model, not a curated record. Lineage: Eukaryota; Metazoa; Chordata; Aves; Galliformes; Phasianidae. The transcript is spliced from 3 exons.